AUUGAACGCUGGCGGCAUGCCUUACACAUGCAAGUCGAACGGUAACAGGUCUUCGGAUGCUGACGAGUGGCGAACGGGUGAGUAAUACAUCGGAACGUGCCUAGUAGUGGGGGAUAACUACUCGAAAGAGUGGCUAAUACCGCAUGAGAUCUACGGAUGAAAGCAGGGGAUCGCAAGACCUCGUGCUACUAGAGCGGCCGAUGGCAGAUUAGGUAGUUGGUGGGAUAAAAGCUUACCAAGCCGACGAUCUGUAGCUGGUCUGAGAGGAAGAUCAGCCACGCUGGAGCUGAGAAACGGCCCAGACUCCUACGGGAGGCAGCAGUGGGGAAUUUUGGACAAUGGGCGCAAGCCUGAUCCAGCAAUGCCGCGUGCAGGAUGAAGGCCUUCGGGUUGUAAACUGCUUUUGUACGGAACGAAAAGCCCCGGGUUAAUACCCUGGGGUCAUGACGGUACCGUAAGAAUAAGCACCGGCUAACUACGUGCCAGCAGCCGCGGUAA
Molecule: ribosomal RNA, 498 nt
Filed under: uncultured bacterium
Lineage: Bacteria
Description: partial 16S ribosomal RNA
Rfam family: Bacterial small subunit ribosomal RNA
Source: RNAcentral